This 451-nucleotide ribosomal RNA is filed under the name uncultured bacterium. RNAcentral's name for it is "partial 16S ribosomal RNA". It matches the Rfam family "Bacterial small subunit ribosomal RNA", at positions 354 to 796 of the family's 1533-position model. The record is from RNAcentral.
GUGGGGAAUCUUCCACAAUGGACGAAAGUCUGAUGGAGCAACGCCGUGUGAGGGAAGAAGGCUUUCGGGUCGUAAACCUCUGUCAGAAAGGAAGAACCUCCCAAGUCCGAAUAGGGCUUGGGACUGACGGUACUUUCAAAGGAAGCACCGGCUAACUCCGUGCCAGCAGCCGCGGUAAUACGGAGGGUGCAAGCGUUAAUCGGAAUCACUGGGCGUAAAGCGCGCAUAGGCCGCUUUGUAAGUCGGACGUGAAAGCCCUCGGCUCAACCGGGGAACUGCGUUCGAUACUGCGAGGCUUGAGUCCUGGAGAGGGUGGCGGAAUUCCGGGUGUAGGAGUGAAAUCCGUAGAUAUCCGGAGGAACACCGGUGGCGAAGGCGGCCACCUGGACAGGUACUGACGCUGAGGCGCGAAAGCGUGGGGAGCAAACAGGAUUAGAAACCCCUGUAGUCC